RNAcentral lists this long non-coding RNA (210 nucleotides) under Serinus canaria (Common canary). RNAcentral's name for it is "lncRNA (ENSSCAG00000002224.1)". Lineage: Eukaryota; Metazoa; Chordata; Aves; Passeriformes; Fringillidae. The record is from RNAcentral.
GACUGCCAAGUGCCAAGCUGCUCAUGAAUGCUGCUCCCCACCAUGGUUAAACUGCUGCUACUUCACAGUGCACUUCAUCUCCUGGAAUGAGCUUCAAGCAUCCUCCUACAAAUGCCUGCUUUGUUGUGUUCAUAGCUGUGUUUACAGUUGCCUCAAGGACAAGGAACAACACUUCUCCAUUAUGCUUUUGUUGCCUCAGUGUUGGAGCCA